CUGGGUGAGAGAAACACGUAU
This 21-nucleotide microRNA is filed under the name Glycine max (soybean). Its description in RNAcentral is "gma-miR4416c-5p". RNAcentral also lists the same sequence under 1 other name. Lineage: Eukaryota; Viridiplantae; Streptophyta; Magnoliopsida; Fabales; Fabaceae. The record is from miRBase by way of RNAcentral.